This 2623-nucleotide ribosomal RNA is filed under the name Escherichia coli. RNAcentral describes it as "partial 23S ribosomal RNA". It matches the Rfam family "Bacterial large subunit ribosomal RNA". The record is from RNAcentral. Lineage: Bacteria; Pseudomonadati; Pseudomonadota; Gammaproteobacteria; Enterobacterales; Enterobacteriaceae.
UGAAUCCAUAGGUUAAUGAGGCGAACCGGGGGAACUGAAACAUCUAAGUACCCCGAGGAAAAGAAAUCAACCGAGAUUCCCCCAGUAGCGGCGAGCGAACGGGGAGGAGCCCAGAGCCUGAAUCAGUGUGUGUGUUAGUGGAAGCGUCUGGAAAGGCGUGCGAUACAGGGUGACAGCCCCGUACACAAAAAUGCACAUAUUGUGAGCUCGAUGAGUAGGGCGGGACACGUGGUAUCCUGUCUGAAUAUGGGGGGACCAUCCUCCAAGGCUAAAUACUCCUGACUGACCGAUAGUGAACCAGUACCGUGAGGGAAAGGCGAAAAGAACCCCGGCGAGGGGAGUGAAAAAGAACCUGAAACCGUGUACGUACAAGCAGUGGGAGCCUCUUAAUGGGGUGACUGCGUACCUUUUGUAUAAUGGGUCAGCGACUUAUAUUCUGUAGCAAGGUUAACCGAAUAGGGGAGCCGAAGGGAAACCGAGUCUUAACUGGGCGUUAAGUUGCAGGGUAUAGACCCGAAACCCGGUGAUCUAGCCAUGGGCAGGUUGAAGGUUGGGUAACACUAACUGGAGGACCGAACCGACUAAUGUUGAAAAAUUAGCGGAUGACUUGUGGCUGGGGGUGAAAGGCCAAUCAAACCGGGAGAUAGCUGGUUCUCCCCGAAAGCUAUUUAGGUAGCGCCUCGUGAAUUCAUCUCCGGGGGUAGAGCACUGUUUCGGCAAGGGGGUCAUCCCGACUUACCAACCCGAUGCAAACUGCGAAUACCGGAGAAUGUUAUCACGGGAGACACACGGCGGGUGCUAACGUCCGUCGUGAAGAGGGAAACAACCCAGACCGCCAGCUAAGGUCCCAAAGUCAUGGUUAAGUGGGAAACGAUGUGGGAAGGCCCAGACAGCCAGGAUGUUGGCUUAGAAGCAGCCAUCAUUUAAAGAAAGCGUAAUAGCUCACUGGUCGAGUCGGCCUGCGCGGAAGAUGUAACGGGGCUAAACCAUGCACCGAAGCUGCGGCAGCGACACUAUGUGUUGUUGGGUAGGGGAGCGUUCUGUAAGCCUGUGAAGGUGGCCUGUGAGGGUUGCUGGAGGUAUCAGAAGUGCGAAUGCUGACAUAAGUAACGAUAAAGCGGGUGAAAAGCCCGCUCGCCGGAAGACCAAGGGUUCCUGUCCAACGUUAAUCGGGGCAGGGUGAGUCGACCCCUAAGGCGAGGCCGAAAGGCGUAGUCGAUGGGAAACAGGUUAAUAUUCCUGUACUUGGUGUUACUGCGAAGGGGGGACGGAGAAGGCUAUGUUGGCCGGGCGACGGUUGUCCCGGUUUAAGCGUGUAGGCUGGUUUUCCAGGCAAAUCCGGAAAACCAAGGCUGAGGCGUGAUGACGAGGCACUACGGUGCUGAAGUGACAAAUGCCCUGCUUCCAGGAAAAGCCUCUAAGCAUCAGGUAACAUCAAAUCGUACCCCAAACCGACACAGGUGGUCAGGUAGAGAAUACCAAGGCGCUUGAGAGAACUCGGGUGAAGGAACUAGGCAAAAUGGUGCCGUAACUUCGGGAGAAGGCACGCUGAUAUGUAGGUGAAGCGACUUGCUCGUGGAGCUGAAAUCAGUCGAAGAUACCAGCUGGCUGCAACUGUUUAUUAAAAACACAGCACUGUGCAAACACGAAAGUGGACGUAUACGGUGUGACGCCUGCCCGGUGCCGGAAGGUUAAUUGAUGGGGUUAGCGGUAACGCGAAGCUCUUGAUCGAAGCCCCGGUAAACGGCGGCCGUAACUAUAACGGUCCUAAGGUAGCGAAAUUCCUUGUCGGGUAAGUUCCGACCUGCACGAAUGGCGUAAUGAUGGCCAGGCUGUCUCCACCCGAGACUCAGUGAAAUUGAACUCGCUGUGAAGAUGCAGUGUACCCGCGGCAAGACGGAAAGACCCCGUGAACCUUUACUAUAGCUUGACACUGAACAUUGAGCCUUGAUGUGUAGGAUAGGUGGGAGGCUUUGAAGUGUGGACGCCAGUCUGCAUGGAGCCGACCUUGAAAUACCACCCUUUAAUGUUUGAUGUUCUAACGUUGGCCCGUAAUCCGGGUUGCGGACAGUGUCUGGUGGGUAGUUUGACUGGGGCGGUCUCCUCCUAAAGAGUAACGGAGGAGCACGAAGGUUGGCUAAUCCUGGUCGGACAUCAGGAGGUUAGUGCAAUGGCAUAAGCCAGCUUGACUGCGAGCGUGACGGCGCGAGCAGGUGCGAAAGCAGGUCAUAGUGAUCCGGUGGUUCUGAAUGGAAGGGCCAUCGCUCAACGGAUAAAAGGUACUCCGGGGAUAACAGGCUGAUACCGCCCAAGAGUUCAUAUCGACGGCGGUGUUUGGCACCUCGAUGUCGGCUCAUCACAUCCUGGGGCUGAAGUAGGUCCCAAGGGUAUGGCUGUUCGCCAUUUAAAGUGGUACGCGAGCUGGGUUUAGAACGUCGUGAGACAGUUCGGUCCCUAUCUGCCGUGGGCGCUGGAGAACUGAGGGGGGCUGCUCCUAGUACGAGAGGACCGGAGUGGACGCAUCACUGGUGUUCGGGUUGUCAUGCCAAUGGCACUGCCCGGUAGCUAAAUGCGGAAGAGAUAAGUGCUGAAAGCAUCUAAGCACGAAACUUGCCCCGAGAUG